This 466-nucleotide ribosomal RNA is filed under the name uncultured Thioclava sp. Its description in RNAcentral is "bacterial SSU rRNA". It matches the Rfam family "Bacterial small subunit ribosomal RNA", at positions 91 to 578 of the family's 1533-position model. Lineage: Bacteria; Pseudomonadati; Pseudomonadota; Alphaproteobacteria; Rhodobacterales; Paracoccaceae. The record is from RNAcentral.
UCUAGCGGCGGACGGGUGAGUAACGCGUGGGAACGUGCCCUUUGCUACGGAAUAGUCCCGGGAAACUGGGUUUAAUACCGUAUGUGCCCCCCAUUAUAGUGAUGGCGGGGGAAAGAUUUAUCGGCAAAGGAUCGGCCCGCGUUGGAUUAGGUAGUUGGUGGGGUAAUGGCCCACCAAGCCGACGAUCCAUAGCUGGUUUGAGAGGAUGAUCAGCCACACUGGGACUGAGACACGGCCCAGACUCCUACGGGAGGCAGCAGUGGGGAAUCUUAGACAAUGGGGGCAACCCUGAUCCAGCAAUGCCGCGUGAGUGAUGAAGGCCUUCGGGUCGUAAAGCUCUUUUACCAGGGAUGAUAAUGACAGUACCUGGAGAAUAAGCUCCGGCUAACUCCGUGCCAGCAGCCGCGGUAAUACGGAGGGAGCUAGCGUUGUUCGGAAUUACUGGGCGUAAAGCGCACGUAGGCGG